Molecule: ribosomal RNA, 494 nt
Filed under: uncultured bacterium
Lineage: Bacteria
Description: partial 16S ribosomal RNA
Rfam family: Bacterial small subunit ribosomal RNA
Source: RNAcentral
GACGAACGCUGGCGGCGUGCCUAAUACAUGCAAGUAGAACGCUGAAGGAGGAGCUUGCUUCUCUGGAUGAGUUGCGAACGGGUGAGUAACGCGUAGGUAACCUGCCUGGUAGCGGGGGAUAACUAUUGGAAACGAUAGCUAAUACCGCAUAAGAGUAGAUGUUGCAUGACAUUUGCUUAAAAGGAGCAAUUGCAUCACUACCAGAUGGACCUGCGUUGUAUUAGCUAGUUGGUGAGGUAACGGCUCACCAAGGCAACGAUACAUAGCCGACCUGAGAGGGUGAUCGGCCACACUGGGACUGAGACACGGCCCAGACUCCUACGGGAGGCAGCAGUAGGGAAUCUUCGGCAAUGGACGGAAGUCUGACCGAGCAACGCCGCGUGAGUGAAGAAGGUUUUCGGAUCGUAAAGCUCUGUUGUAAGAGAAGAACGAGUGUGAGAGUGGAAAGUUCACACUGUGACGGUAUCUUACCAGAAAGGGACGGCUAACUACGU